Molecule: ribosomal RNA, 2903 nt
Filed under: Escherichia coli
Lineage: Bacteria; Pseudomonadati; Pseudomonadota; Gammaproteobacteria; Enterobacterales; Enterobacteriaceae
Description: 23S ribosomal RNA
Rfam family: Bacterial large subunit ribosomal RNA
Source: RNAcentral
UUAAGCGACUAAGCGUACACGGUGGAUGCCCUGGCAGUCAGAGGCGAUGAAGGACGUGCUAAUCUGCGAUAAGCGUCGGUAAGGUGAUAUGAACCGUUAUAACCGGCGAUUUCCGAAUGGGGAAACCCAGUGUGUUUCGACACACUAUCAUUAACUGAAUCCAUAGGUUAAUGAGGCGAACCGGGGGAACUGAAACAUCUAAGUACCCCGAGGAAAAGAAAUCAACCGAGAUUCCCCCAGUAGCGGCGAGCGAACGGGGAGCAGCCCAGAGCCUGAAUCAGUGUGUGUGUUAGUGGAAGCGUCUGGAAAGGCGCGCGAUACAGGGUGACAGCCCCGUACACAAAAAUGCACAUGCUGUGAGCUCGAUGAGUAGGGCGGGACACGUGGUAUCCUGUCUGAAUAUGGGGGGACCAUCCUCCAAGGCUAAAUACUCCUGACUGACCGAUAGUGAACCAGUACCGUGAGGGAAAGGCGAAAAGAACCCCGGCGAGGGGAGUGAAAAAGAACCUGAAACCGUGUACGUACAAGCAGUGGGAGCACGCUUAGGCGUGUGACUGCGUACCUUUUGUAUAAUGGGUCAGCGACUUAUAUUCUGUAGCAAGGUUAACCGAAUAGGGGAGCCGAAGGGAAACCGAGUCUUAACUGGGCGUUAAGUUGCAGGGUAUAGACCCGAAACCCGGUGAUCUAGCCAUGGGCAGGUUGAAGGUUGGGUAACACUAACUGGAGGACCGAACCGACUAAUGUUGAAAAAUUAGCGGAUGACUUGUGGCUGGGGGUGAAAGGCCAAUCAAACCGGGAGAUAGCUGGUUCUCCCCGAAAGCUAUUUAGGUAGCGCCUCGUGAAUUCAUCUCCGGGGGUAGAGCACUGUUUCGGCAAGGGGGUCAUCCCGACUUACCAACCCGAUGCAAACUGCGAAUACCGGAGAAUGUUAUCACGGGAGACACACGGCGGGUGCUAACGUCCGUCGUGAAGAGGGAAACAACCCAGACCGCCAGCUAAGGUCCCAAAGUCAUGGUUAAGUGGGAAACGAUGUGGGAAGGCCCAGACAGCCAGGAUGUUGGCUUAGAAGCAGCCAUCAUUUAAAGAAAGCGUAAUAGCUCACUGGUCGAGUCGGCCUGCGCGGAAGAUGUAACGGGGCUAAACCAUGCACCGAAGCUGCGGCAGCGACGCUUAUGCGUUGUUGGGUAGGGGAGCGUUCUGUAAGCCUGUGAAGGUGUGCUGUGAGGCAUGCUGGAGGUAUCAGAAGUGCGAAUGCUGACAUAAGUAACGAUAAAGCGGGUGAAAAGCCCGCUCGCCGGAAGACCAAGGGUUCCUGUCCAACGUUAAUCGGGGCAGGGUGAGUCGACCCCUAAGGCGAGGCCGAAAGGCGUAGUCGAUGGGAAACAGGUUAAUAUUCCUGUACUUGGUGUUACUGCGAAGGGGGGACGGAGAAGGCUAUGUUGGCCGGGCGACGGUUGUCCCGGUUUAAGCGUGUAGGCUGGUUUUCCAGGCAAAUCCGGAAAAUCAAGGCUGAGGCGUGAUGACGAGGCACUACGGUGCUGAAGCAACAAAUGCCCUGCUUCCAGGAAAAGCCUCUAAGCAUCAGGUAACAUCAAAUCGUACCCCAAACCGACACAGGUGGUCAGGUAGAGAAUACCAAGGCGCUUGAGAGAACUCGGGUGAAGGAACUAGGCAAAAUGGUGCCGUAACUUCGGGAGAAGGCACGCUGAUAUGUAGGUGAAGUCCCUCGCGGAUGGAGCUGAAAUCAGUCGAAGAUACCAGCUGGCUGCAACUGUUUAUUAAAAACACAGCACUGUGCAAACACGAAAGUGGACGUAUACGGUGUGACGCCUGCCCGGUGCCGGAAGGUUAAUUGAUGGGGUUAGCGGUAACGCGAAGCUCUUGAUCGAAGCCCCGGUAAACGGCGGCCGUAACUAUAACGGUCCUAAGGUAGCGAAAUUCCUUGUCGGGUAAGUUCCGACCUGCACGAAUGGCGUAAUGAUGGCCAGGCUGUCUCCACCCGAGACUCAGUGAAAUUGAACUCGCUGUGAAGAUGCAGUGUACCCGCGGCAAGACGGAAAGACCCCGUGAACCUUUACUAUAGCUUGACACUGAACAUUGAGCCUUGAUGUGUAGGAUAGGUGGGAGGCUUUGAAGUGUGGACGCCAGUCUGCAUGGAGCCGACCUUGAAAUACCACCCUUUAAUGUUUGAUGUUCUAACGUUGACCCGUGAUCCGGGUUGCGGACAGUGUCUGGUGGGUAGUUUGACUGGGGCGGUCUCCUCCUAAAGAGUAACGGAGGAGCACGAAGGUUGGCUAAUCCUGGUCGGACAUCAGGAGGUUAGUGCAAUGGCAUAAGCCAGCUUGACUGCGAGCGUGACGGCGCGAGCAGGUGCGAAAGCAGGUCAUAGUGAUCCGGUGGUUCUGAAUGGAAGGGCCAUCGCUCAACGGAUAAAAGGUACUCCGGGGAUAACAGGCUGAUACCGCCCAAGAGUUCAUAUCGACGGCGGUGUUUGGCACCUCGAUGUCGGCUCAUCACAUCCUGGGGCUGAAGUAGGUCCCAAGGGUAUGGCUGUUCGCCAUUUAAAGUGGUACGCGAGCUGGGUUUAGAACGUCGUGAGACAGUUCGGUCCCUAUCUGCCGUGGGCGCUGGAGAACUGAGGGGGGCUGCUCCUAGUACGAGAGGACCGGAGUGGACGCAUCACUGGUGUUCGGGUUGUCAUGCCAAUGGCACUGCCCGGUAGCUAAAUGCGGAAGAGAUAAGUGCUGAAAGCAUCUAAGCACGAAACUUGCCCCGAGAUGAGUUCUCCCUGACCCUUUAAGGGUCCUGAAGGAACGUUGAAGACGACGACGUUGAUAGGCCGGGUGUGUAAGCGCAGCGAUGCGUUGAGCUAACCGGUACUAAUGAACCGUGAGGCUUAACCU